GACGAACGCUGGCGGCGUGCUUAACACAUGCAAGUCGAACGGAAAGGCCCUGCUUUUGUGGGGUGCUCGAGUGGCGAACGGGUGAGUAACACGUGAGUAACCUGCCCUUGACUUUGGGAUAACUUCAGGAAACUGGGGCUAAUACCGGAUAGGAGCUCCUGCUGCAUGGUGGGGGUUGGAAAGUUUCGGCGGUUGGGGCUGGACUCGCGGCUUAUCAGCUUGUUGGUGGGGUAGUGGCUUACCAAGGCUUUGACGGGUAGCCGGCCUGAGAGGGUGACCGGCCACAUUGGGACUGAGGUACGGCCCAGACUCCUACGGGAGGCAACGGUGGGGAAUAUUGCACAAUGGGCGGAAGCCUGAUGCAGCAGCGCCGCGUGCGGGAUGACGGCCUUCGAGUUGUAAACCGCUUUCGCCUGUGACGAAGCGUGAGUGACGGUAAUGGGUAAAGAAGCACCGGCUAACUACGUG
RNAcentral lists this ribosomal RNA (468 nucleotides) under uncultured bacterium. RNAcentral's name for it is "partial 16S ribosomal RNA". It matches the Rfam family "Bacterial small subunit ribosomal RNA", at positions 28 to 507 of the family's 1533-position model. The record is from RNAcentral.